AUACAAAUCUCCUGGGGAUUUUGUUUAAAAUGCAGAUUCUGCAUCAGUAGGUUUGAAGUAGAGCUGAGCGUCUGCAUUUCUAAGAAUAGCCAGGCGAUGCCCUA
Molecule: microRNA precursor, 104 nt
Filed under: Marmota monax (woodchuck)
Lineage: Eukaryota; Metazoa; Chordata; Mammalia; Rodentia; Sciuridae
Source: RNAcentral